This 1067-nucleotide long non-coding RNA is filed under the name Homo sapiens (human). Its description in RNAcentral is "mir-99a-let-7c cluster host gene". The record is from RNAcentral. Lineage: Eukaryota; Metazoa; Chordata; Mammalia; Primates; Hominidae.
UAUCAGAAAGAAAGAAGAGGAAAAAAAAUUAUAAUUAUUAAUUCAUGAUGCUAUGCAGGCUUUGUGAGGUUGGAGGUAACUGCUAUUGAAGAAAUGCUUCAGGCCCUGGUCAACACAACGAAAGACAAUGAACAGAAAUCGCCAUUUGAUGUGAAGAGUGACUGUAAAGGAAGACAAGAAGAAGGCACAAGGAGAUUUGCUCCAAACUAGUUCUUCCCAUAAAAUCUCUGCCCCGGCCAGUUGCAGUGGCUCACGUCUGUAAUCCCAGCACUUUGAGAGGCCGAGACCAGUCCAAGAAGAUUGUAUAUAAGAGACACCUGAUAAUUUCAAAAUCCUAGGCCCACUUCCUGAGCUGAGCAAGGACCAUGGAAUUUCACUGAGCCUACCAGAUAAUCCAGGAUAAGCUCCCUAUUUAAGCAUGCAACCUCAAAGAGAAAAGUUUGAGGAAAUCACUUCAAGGACAAAAAAUUGCAAUGUAAAGAGAAUUAUUUAUCUCCAAAUUCCAGAUUACCCCCCUGCCCAACCCCUGCCAGCAGCACCGUCCACAUGGUUUCUCAUUUAGUUUUGUGUUAGUUUAACAAAGUAGACUCUGCAAUCUGGAUAAAAUAGUAAGUCACCUCAGGUAAUGCAGUUUUGAAGGAAAGCACAGGCUGAAUACAGAAAUCUCUUUCCAAGAGGUGGUAUUUUGUCUGAGAGAAUUUCCUGAUUUUUGAAGCCAUCUAAUAAUUGGAGUAUGUACUAAACAGAUAGGAAUUUAUUUUGUGAGAAAUUUUAUUGAACAGAUGGAUCUGAGAACGCUGUCUGGGCUUGGUACCAAGAGCUGGUAUUUCACAGCAGCGACCGCCUCACAGACGAGCUGUGGGAAGCAGGAGGGAGACUCUCUCUUAGGGUGCCACUACUAUGGAGACACAGCUGGGCUGAACAAGAUUUGCUUCAAACGACAACAAGAGAGACAGAAAGUAUCUGGUUCAACCGCUGCCCGAGCAGGCAGGCACCAGAAGAGCUAGCAGCCAAUCCGGCCAUGCUCGAAGCCAGCUCUGCAGCUCAGCCAAUCAGUGACAUCAUUG